RNAcentral lists this long non-coding RNA (3390 nucleotides) under Lactuca sativa (garden lettuce). RNAcentral's name for it is "long non-coding RNA (LSAT_LNC001078)". The record is from RNAcentral. Lineage: Eukaryota; Viridiplantae; Streptophyta; Magnoliopsida; Asterales; Asteraceae.
ACUUUGGUUAAUCUCAUAUAUCCAGCGCCUAAAUUUGGGAUCUCCUCUCAAUAGUUCUCGAACCUUUAAUUCCCACCGUCACUAUUUUCCACUGCCUUAAGCGGCUGUCAUUCGUUAAUUGCGACGUGUUAUGUUUUGCUACCACCGCCCACUGCUUCCAAUUGCAAACCAACAACAUAUAUUAUAUUGCUGCCUCUUUCCUCCAUGGCUCAUCUAACUGGAUUAAUCCUUACCCUACGGAAGCUCCCUUCAUACCACAAACCGAUUUUGACCUCAAAGCUAAGCUCAAGAUUAGGGCUUUGUUUUUGCUUCUUGGGUAAACUGAAGCUUUCAUCGGCGACCAUCCUGCUACCGUGUUCUACUAUACGAUUGUGCUAAAUCAAGUUUUCUCACCACCUAAUGGUAAAUGGGUUCCAGCAGUCCAAGAACAAUUUAAAGCCCUUUAAUAUUUCUUUUGGUUUUCUAUCUAUCGGAUUAGGUGGAAUACUCUAAUGUAAGUGUUGAUCCCGAUUUCUACUUUCAUUUCUGUUAUCUGAUUCUGCUUUCAUGUUUUAAAGCCUAAUACCUUUGCAAAUUGAGCUAAACGUUAGGGAAUCAUAUAAAAGAGAGUAUAAAACAAGUAUAUGCCAUUUAAUCGACGUUCAUAAUUAGGAGUGAGAAGAGCAAAAGGGUAUACGCCAUUUAAUCGAAUCACCUCGACAAGGAAAUCGCCAAAUUGGUAAAUCCGAUAUAAAAUCUUGAAAAACGCAUGUUGUAUGGAUCGAGGUGCCCUCUAAGGUUCUUUUUAAUCAAUUUUAGUAUUGUGAUUUUCUAAUUUUUUGAGUUGUAGUUUCGACCUCAAUUUUCAAUAGCCUGUAAUUGUAUUCUAAUUUGUUUUUUUGAAGCACACCUCCAAGGGCAUCAAAAGUGAGAAGCUUUUGAGUUUUUUUUGUUCUUUUAUUUCUCUUAUUCUGAUUCAUUUGUCGUCGAUCAUCAAUCAUCAUCUCUUCAUUUGUUUUUUGUGGUUUGUUACAUGAGGGUUGUUUCUUGUUGUGGUUCCACUAUUGUAGAAUGUAGCAUACAACAUGAAUGCUUCAUAUUUAUCGUCUGUUUAUAUGUUUCUAUUUGAUUUAUAAAAACAUUCCUAUUCUAUUAUAGUAUUGAAACCUUAUUACAGACACAAUAUUUUUAUUGACAUGCACUUUUAUUUGGCAUAGGAACUUCAAUAAUUGCAAGGAACAUUACAUAUAAGAUGGUUUUCGGAUUUCAAUUGAUAUUUUCUUUCAUUGACAUUUAUAUAGGCAUUAUUGAUGAGGAAGGUCUAUUUUCAAGAAAAACAAUAAACAGUUGUCAGGAAGUAGUAGGUGCUGGAAAGGUUAGUUUAGUCUUUUAUCAACUCUUAUUUGUCAUAUCUCAAAGACAUAAAUUAUGCAUAAUAUCUAAAAUUGUGAUUUUUUGUUUAUUUUAUGAAAUAGUUGUGACUUUUGAACAAUAUUUGACAUGGUUGUGCGUUUUUCACAAUAUCCAAAAGUGAUUGUAAUAAUUUUAAGAAUUGUUAUUUAUACUUUAUCUAAAAUAACAAUGUGAUUCAAGGUGAAAAUAGGUUUUAGUUGACUGAUGCUUUGACCAAGGUUCUUUGUUGUUGACUACACAGGCACACUAGAAGAUUGGAAAGAAUGGAUACAAUUGUUGCAGGGGCAAAACCGAAAAAACAAAAGUUGGGUAAGAAAGUGGGUGGUGGUUGUUUGGUGAAAAAGAAGCGUAAGCUAUCUGGUAGGAGGAGUGGUGUUGGUAAGGUCCAUCUGUAUAAAACCAUUUCUCCAUAAGUCCUCUUUUGUUUUGUUAGGUUUUGAAAUUUCAUAAAUUUUUAUUUCUAAACAAUUGUUUAAGAAUUAUUGAUUUGUGCCUCUCCUUACAUUUUUAUUUGUAGUUGAACGAUUUUCUCUAGGAGUGAGAAAUCCAACAUUUUUUUUUCUUUUUUUGUUGGGGCAUUGGCUACCGAACAUAAGUUUGUGGUGGCUUGAUUAGACUUCCAAUUCAGGUUACAUACAUAAUUUCUAUUUCAUCACAUGCUUUCCAUAUUUUUACAAUUGCUAUAAUAAUUUAAUAGACUUAAAACCUCAUGUAUACGUGCUAGAGGUUUUUUGUUAUUUCAUCCAAAUAAAGUGUUGAAAUUAUAAGAGUUUAAUAUCACAAACUUAUAAUUCAUUAUAUCCUUUUGAGUAUCCUUUUACAUAUUUUUUAGUUUAUGUAUUCUAUUUAUAUAUUGCUUGUGUUUGUUAUGAUUUGGUGCAGAAGGAUAUAUUUUGUAUAGUUUGCGGAAGUAUUGGACUAAUAUAAUGAUGUGGUGAAGUUAUGAAACACACGGGUCAUAUUUGAUCCAUAUUGUUGAUCAGUGACCCGGUUGACUAGUCAGAUGUAUACAUUAGUGAUUAUGUGAGAGUUGGAGUAUGAUUCUGCCUAUUCAUCUUCUUACUAAUAACUUCUUCUUUCUCUAGUCAUUAGGGUUCUUGUUCUUAUGUUUAACCUUUUGUUCUUAAUCAUUGAUUCACGAAGAGUGUAGAUUAGGUGAGUGAUUUUACAGUGAGGUUAUUUUGUAGAGUGAAGAGAGUUUAUGUAGUGAGGUUUUGGAUUGCAAGUAUUCUUGAAAACCUUCUAGUUCCUAAUGAAUUAGAACUGUUGAUGUUGUGAUUUCUUGUUUUCGUGUUUCUUUUGAUGGUAUCAGAGCCGAGUUAUGGUUGUUUCCGAUCUGAUCUUCGUCUAGAUCAAGUUAGGGUUUAGAUUGAGUUAGGGUUUCAGGUCAUUUUGUCUAGAUCAAGUUAGGGUUUCAGAGCUUGUGUUUGGAUCUGGUUCUGGUUCGUUCUUCUCUUCUCCAUGGGUUCUUAGAUCUUUUAUCAAAUCUAGGGUUUGGUUUAGAUCUAUUUAGAUCAUGAGGAUAUUAUCAACCUGGUUGUUCUCUUGUCACAUCUUAAGAGUAUACGUUCGAGAUAGUUGUAAACGUUUAGGGUUAAUGUUGUGUUAAUCCUAACGGCCAAUGCUAUUGAGACGGUCAACGUUAAGAUUGUGGAAACAAGGUUCUAAAAUCGGGCUGGUUCUGGCAUUUGAAUGCCUAUUGUCAUUUUUCAGCGGUGAAUCUAUGUUUUGGAUUCAUCGGAACUACACUGCUGCUUGCUGAGCUUUUUUAUUUGAGGAUCUUUGUAAGUUUCGCACACCUCUCUGUCUAUUUCUUUUGUUACUUGAUUCUUGAUAGAUCAGUUAAUCUUCUGAUCACAGUGUUACACACCUGUAAACUAGCUUGCUCUGGCCUUAUAUGUGCUAUGAUUCUUCUCUAGUUUAUAGAAACUAUUAUGGAAGAGUGUGAUUGUUUUUUUAAUUUCUGAUCUAUCUGAUUUCUUGAUUACUUAUUUGUUU